Long non-coding RNA from Bradysia coprophila, 245 nucleotides. Lineage: Eukaryota; Metazoa; Arthropoda; Insecta; Diptera; Sciaridae. The record is from RefSeq and is a predicted model, not a curated record.
CAUUUGAAAUAAAAAGUUGUUUUUGCAGAGAAAUGAUAAGCGCGGCCACUCAUGGCUGGUAUAGAACACGCCUGAGGCAUAUUUUUUUCAACAAUUUUCUCUCUCAUUUCGUCUCUCAAUUUCACAUUUAUUUUUGACGUAUUGGUUGGAAUUUUAUAUGGAGUUUUUCUCCCAUCGGUUCCAUGUAAGCAAUCUGUCAUCGUCAGGCGUGUUCUAUCCCAGCCAUGAGUGGCCGCUCUUAUCAU